Molecule: ribosomal RNA, 491 nt
Filed under: uncultured bacterium
Lineage: Bacteria
Description: partial 16S ribosomal RNA
Rfam family: Bacterial small subunit ribosomal RNA
Source: RNAcentral
GAUGAACGCUGUCUACAGGCUUAACACGUGCAAGUCGAGGGGAAACGACGGGGAAGCUUGCUUCCCCGGGCGUCGACCGGCGCACGGGUGAGUAACGCGUAUCCAACCUGCCUCUGACUGAGGGAUAACCCGUCGAAAGUCGGCCUAAUACCUCAUGGCAUCGUCUGCGGGCAUCCAACGACGAUUAAAGAUUUCAUCGGUCAGGGAUGGGGAUGCGUCUGAUUAGCUUGUUGGCGGGGUAACGGCCCACCAAGGCUACGAUCAGUAGGGGUUCUGAGAGGAAGGUCCCCCACAUUGGAACUGAGACACGGUCCAAACUCCUACGGGAGGCAGCAGUGAGGAAUAUUGGUCAAUGGGCGGGAGCCUGAACCAGCCAAGUAGCGUGCAGGAUGACGGCCCUAUGGGUUGUAAACUGCUUUUAUGCGGGGAUAAAGUGAGGGACGUGUCCUUCAUUGCAGGUACCGCAUGAAUAAGGACCGGCUAAUUCCGUG